AGAGUUUGAUCCUGGCUCAGAACGAACGCUGGCGGCGUGCUUAACACAUGCAAGUCCAACGUGAAAGGGGAGCAAUCCCCCGGUAGGGUGGCGAACGGGUGAGUAAUACAUGGGAACCUGUCCUGGAGAUGGGGAUAUCCUCCCGAAAGGAGGGUUAAUACCGAAUAUCGUCCGGGUGACGGGAGUCACUUGGGGAAAGGGAGGCCUCUGGCAACAUGCUUCCGCUCCGGGAGGAGCCCAUGGCCCAUCAGCUAGUUGGUAGGGUAACGGCCUACCAAGGCAAAGACGGGUAGCUGGUCUGAGAGGACGAUCAGCCACACUGGGACUGAGACACGGCCCAGACUCCUACGGGAGGCGAC
This 359-nucleotide ribosomal RNA is filed under the name uncultured prokaryote. Its description in RNAcentral is "bacterial SSU rRNA". It matches the Rfam family "Bacterial small subunit ribosomal RNA", at positions 8 to 352 of the family's 1533-position model. The record is from RNAcentral.